This 623-nucleotide long non-coding RNA is filed under the name Rattus norvegicus (Norway rat). RNAcentral's name for it is "long non-coding RNA NONRATT024630". The record is from RNAcentral. Lineage: Eukaryota; Metazoa; Chordata; Mammalia; Rodentia; Muridae.
CGCCCACUUGGCAUUCUGCUUGCAUAGCCUUAUUCCAUGGUGUCUCCCUAACACCCACCUGUGCUUCGGUGUCACUGGGUCAUCCUAUUCCAACCUCUCCCUCGGGUUUCAGCCACCCCUACCCCUGCUUUAAAGUCUGGCUUCCCUUGCUAAAGCCACACUGUGGCUAACCUGGCCCACCCGCUGCCCUUAGCCUUGCCAUCAGGUCCCCAUACCAUUGUGCUCUUCCUCCAUCCCCUCCACCUCCCUCCACCUCCCCAAACUCACCUCAGUUGCCAACAGCCUCCCCGUGCCUGUUGGACAAUCCCUUGCUGGUUCUUCAUCUCCCGUGGGCCUAGUUUCCAGGGGCUGAGUGACCAGGGUCUUAAAACAGGUUUAUGCCUUGGCCUGCUGGCCCUGGAGAUCCCAUCGUCGGCUUCGUCGAACUCAAAGUCGUCGCCCUACCCUGGUGGGUGUUUAUCACACUUACCACCACCGUGUCCUUGAGAGUUCAUGGCUCUGCCCUCCUAGGCCCCUUGCUGACCUUUUGGUGUUGUUUUGGGGGCUACUAUCCAGGCCCGUCGCGUCUUCCUGUGCCAUUUCCUGUUGUGCUCAGGUUCCACGAGCUGCCCAUCUCCAGAGAA